CUUCUACUUAUUAAAAUAAAAUGUGUUGUAAAACAGUGUGCUGGGUUACACCAGCAGCAGCCUCAUACAUCUUGUGAUUACUGUUUCUCUUGAUGGCAUCAUUUUCUCUUGUGCUUGAUUUAAUCUUGUGUUGUUUUGCUCAUUGUGGCUCUAAAAGCAAUAAGCGAUACCAACACCUAUGCACCACACAGCCAGGUGUGUAGCAGGCUAUGCCACCUGGGUUUGUGUAAAUGCACUCUGUGAUGUCAAGGAUGCGAUUGCUUAAUGAUGCUUUUAUCAGAACGUAUCCUCAUUGUUGAGUGAUGAAGGAUUGUAGUUGCCUACCUUGUUAGAGAUGCUGUCUACUGGUUAUUUUGUUUUAUUCUGGUCCUCUAAGGUGUGUUCACUACUUCUAUUUGAUGGCAUUAGAAACCAAGGCUCAAUGUCAACUUGCCAUUCAAAGUCACUUUGCUAGUUGUGGUUUUUGUGGAUUUGAAUCCCUGCCUGGCUGGCUCCAAAGCCUAGUUUGUUUCAAAGACACUGAAGAGGAGCUGGGGUAUUUGAUCUGCAACAUCAAGGAUGAGCAGAUGGAUUGAAUAUGCAGACAUUUUCCUUGGCACCUUAGCUUUGGCAUCUUUUUAAAGAAUCCAGUGAUGAAGAUUCAUUAUGGUCACAGGUUCGACACUUGGAGCACAUUGGCAGUGUCAUAUCUGCCAUCAGAAAGGAGCACAUAGACAUCAACUUAUGGAAAGUCAGAUUUUACUCUUAAAAUUCCCUUAAAAUAAAGUAUUAGCUCUGUGUCUGUCCUGUGAUGUGCAUGCAGCUUCUAUCUUCAAGCUUGUAGUCACUUUUCCCUGCGGAGUGGCAUAGAUUGCUGCUUCUUUGGACCACAGUGCCUCUUCCGUUUCUGUAAUUGUUUU
RNAcentral lists this long non-coding RNA (899 nucleotides) under Marmota monax (woodchuck). The record is from RNAcentral. Lineage: Eukaryota; Metazoa; Chordata; Mammalia; Rodentia; Sciuridae.